RNAcentral lists this ribosomal RNA (815 nucleotides) under uncultured bacterium. RNAcentral's name for it is "bacterial SSU rRNA". It matches the Rfam family "Bacterial small subunit ribosomal RNA", at positions 8 to 834 of the family's 1533-position model. The record is from RNAcentral.
AGAGUUUGUCCUGGCUCAGAGUGAACGCUGGCGGCGUGCUUAACACAUGCAAGUCGAACGAGAACGGAUUAUAGCUUGCUAUAAUUGUCAGCUAAGUGGCGCACGGGUGAGUAAUGUAUAGAUAACCUGCCCUCUAGAAAGGAAUAACAGUUGGAAACGACUGCUAAUGCCCUAUAUGCCUUUAAUACAUAAGUAUGCAAGGGAAACGCUUUAGUGCUAGAGGAUGGGUCUGUAUGGUAUCAGCUUGUUGGUGAGGUAAUGGCUCACCAAGGCUAUGACGCCUAACUGGUUUGAGAGGAUGAUCAGUCACACUGGAACUGAGACACGGUCCAGACUCCUACGGGAGGCAGCAGUGGGGAAUAUUGCACAAUGGACGAAAGUCUGAUGCAGCAACGCCGCGUGGAGGAUGACACAUUUCGGUGCGUAAACUCCUUUUAUAUAGGAAGAUAAUGACGGUACUAUAUGAAUAAGCACCGGCUAACUCCGUGCCAGCAGCCGCGGUAAUACGGAGGGUGCAAGCGUUACUCGGAAUCACUGGGCGUAAAGAGCGUGUAGGCGGGUAUAUAAGUCAGAAGUGAAAUCCAAUAGCUUAACUAUUGAACUGCUUUUGAAACUGUAUACCUAGAAUGUGGGAGAGGUAGAUGGAAUUUCUGGUGUAGGGGUAAAAUCCGUAGAGAUCAGAAGGAAUACCGAUUGCGAAGGCGAUCUACUGGAACAUUAUUGACGCUGAGACGCGAAAGCGUGGGGAGCAAACAGGAUUAGAUACCCUGGUAGUCCACGCCCUAAACGAUGUACACUAGUUGUUGUGAGGCUCA